Molecule: ribosomal RNA, 440 nt
Filed under: uncultured bacterium
Lineage: Bacteria
Description: partial 16S ribosomal RNA
Rfam family: Bacterial small subunit ribosomal RNA
Source: RNAcentral
CCUACGGGGGGCAGCAGUGGGGGAUAUUGCACAAUGGGGGGAACCCUGAUGCAGCGACGCCGCGUGGGUGAAGAAGCGCCUCGGCGCGUAAAGCCCUGUCAGCAGGGAAGAAAAUGACGGUACCUGAAGAAGAAGCCCCGGCGAACUACGUGCCAGCAGCCGCGGUAAUACGUAGGGGGCAAGCGUUAUCCGGAUGUACUGGGUGGAAAGGGGGCGCAGACGGCGAUGCAAGCCAGGAGGGAAAGCCCGGGGCCCAACCCCGGGACUGCUCGUGGAACUGCGUGGCUGGAGUGCAGGAGGGGCAGGCGGAAUUCCUGGUGUAGCGGUGAAAUGCGUAGAGAUCAGGAGGAACACCGGUGGCGAAGGCGGCCUGCUGGACUGCAACUGACGUUGAGGCCCGAAAGCGUGGGGAGCAAACAGGAUUAGAUACCCUAGUAGUC